GGGCUUGUAGCUCAGUUGGGAGAGCGCUGCGUUCGCAACGCAGAGGUCAUGGGUUCGAAUCCCACCAGGUCCACCA
This 76-nucleotide transfer RNA is filed under the name Clostridia bacterium. Its description in RNAcentral is "tRNA-Ala". It matches the Rfam family "tRNA". From Rfam's summary of the family: Transfer RNA (tRNA) molecules are approximately 80 nucleotides in length. The record is from RNAcentral. RNAcentral also lists the same sequence under 2 other names. Lineage: Bacteria; Bacillati; Bacillota; Clostridia.